This 483-nucleotide ribosomal RNA is filed under the name uncultured bacterium. Its description in RNAcentral is "partial 16S ribosomal RNA". It matches the Rfam family "Bacterial small subunit ribosomal RNA", at positions 30 to 507 of the family's 1533-position model. The record is from RNAcentral.
UUGAACGCUGGCGGCAGGCCUAACACAUGCAAGUCGAGCGGAUGAAGGGAGCUUGCUCCUGGAUUCAGCGGCGGACGGGUGAGUAAUGCCUAGGAAUCUGCCUGGUCGUGGGGGAUAACGUCCGGAAACGGGCGCUAAUACCGCAUACGUCCUGAGGGAGAAAGUGGGGGAUCUUCGGACCUCACGCUCUCAGAUGAGCCUAGGUCGGAUUAGCUAGUUGGUGGGGUAAAGGCCUACCAAGGCGACGAUCCGUAACUGGUCUGAGAGGAUGAUCAGUCACACUGGAACUGAGACACGGUCCAGACUCCUACGGGAGGCAGCAGUGGGGAAUAUUGGACAAUGGGCGAAAGCCUGAUCCAGCCAUGCCGCGUGUGUGAAGAAGGUCUUCGGAUUGUAAAGCACUUUAAGUUGGGAGGAAGGGCAGUAAGUUAAUACCUUGCUGUUUUGACGUUACCAACAGAAUAAGCACCGGCCAACUUCGUG